Long non-coding RNA from Micropterus salmoides (largemouth bass), 136 nucleotides. RefSeq lists it as uncharacterized. The record is from RefSeq and is a predicted model, not a curated record. NCBI's taxonomy places the organism in Eukaryota, Metazoa, Chordata, Actinopteri, Centrarchiformes, Centrarchidae. The transcript has 2 exons.
CAACAACAACGACGAAACCAGCAACAACAACUGAAAACACAAAAUCACAAGGUUGGUUGUGGUUUGUUGCAGUUGCAGCACUCUUAAUAACUGUUGUUAUUGUUGUUGGAUUCAUCAGAUGGAAGAAAACUAAAGG